GAACGUGUUUGUUCCCGUGCUGCGGCUGUGCAAGUGGAUGUUGGGUUCAUCGCGAGCUUCUCGUUUACGGUAGUCAUCGAGUGCGUGUAUGUUUGCUUGGUUAGUUCUAGCAGCAUCGUGUAUUUGAUGCCUUGUGACUUGCUAGAGCUGCAUCUCGGUGAAAUUUGGAGCGCCUAACGAACGGGACGGCACCGCGCUCGUCCUGGCUGAAACAAGGAGACUGCCCAUGACGAUGACUUGAGAGACAUGCCAUUGACGCCCACAAUAUGUAUGAAAGGACCAGCUCUCUUUGAGGCAGAAAUGUUCACUGUCUGUGUGGAUGGUGUUGCUAUCUUGACCACUCAGCGGGCUGCAGCUUUCAAAGUCAUGUUUCUCUUAUACUUCGUUCUUAACAUCGAGUAUCCACCUGAAGUGGCUUUGACAUUGGCGUUUGUGCAGACGGCAAUCGCAGGAAUCAACCCAGAAAGAAGCACAAAGGCACGACGAGCGUCGAAGAGGCAGUAUUGUUUGUCGCCAAAAGUGGCUGCCUUGGCGAAUGCCCUGGAUCAAUACAAGUUCUAAGCUUGAGUUUGAGUUCUAAAUAAAGAGUAAAAUUUGGAAUGUCAAGCUGUUGCCUUUAACUUCGCUAGUGAAUAUAAAUCACUCUGGUUAUGCUGCUAGCACCAUGCAUGCGAAGUUGGUGCUGCCCGCAGCUUCUAUUGCAGAUGAUAGCACAUAAACAGCAACUAUCUAAGUGGAAAUAUCUACUUAGCUUAGGAGAGAACAGAGCCCAUUUUUCUUAAAUAUGGUAAUACAGUUGCGUUAGUACAGGGUUCAACC
Dermacentor albipictus is the source of this 819-nucleotide non-coding RNA. NCBI's taxonomy places the organism in Eukaryota, Metazoa, Arthropoda, Arachnida, Ixodida, Ixodidae. The record is from RefSeq and is a predicted model, not a curated record.